RNAcentral lists this ribosomal RNA (253 nucleotides) under uncultured bacterium. RNAcentral describes it as "partial 16S ribosomal RNA". It matches the Rfam family "Bacterial small subunit ribosomal RNA", at positions 524 to 776 of the family's 1533-position model. The record is from RNAcentral.
UACGAACCGUGCGAACGUUGUUCGGAUUCACUGGGCUUAAAGGGCGCGUAGGCGGGCGAUCAAGUCCGGGGUGAAAUCUUUCGGCUCAACCGGAAAAGUGCCUUGGAUACUGGUCGUCUCGAGGGAGGUAGGGGCAUGCGGAACUUCCGGUGGAGCGGUGAAAUGCGUAGAUAUCGGAAGGAACGCCGGUGGCGAAAGCGGCGUGCUGGACCGCUUCUGACGCUGAGGCGCGAAAGCCAGGGGAGCGAACGGG